RNAcentral lists this ribosomal RNA (254 nucleotides) under uncultured bacterium. RNAcentral's name for it is "partial 16S ribosomal RNA". It matches the Rfam family "Bacterial small subunit ribosomal RNA", at positions 524 to 776 of the family's 1533-position model. The record is from RNAcentral.
UACAGAGGUCUCAAGCGUUGUUCGGAUUCAUUGGGCGUAAAGGGCGGGUAGGCGGCCACCGCAAGUCGGUUGUGAAAUCUCCGGGCUUAACCCGGAAAGGUCAAUCGAUACUGCAGGGCUAGAGUGCAGAAGGGGCAACUGGAAUUCUCGGUGUAGCGGUGAAAUGCGUAGAUAUCGAGAGGAACACCUGCGGCGAAGGCGGGUUGCUGGGCUGACACUGACGCUGAAGCGCGAAAGCUAGGGGAGCGAACGGG